This 497-nucleotide ribosomal RNA is filed under the name uncultured bacterium. RNAcentral's name for it is "partial 16S ribosomal RNA". It matches the Rfam family "Bacterial small subunit ribosomal RNA", at positions 28 to 507 of the family's 1533-position model. The record is from RNAcentral.
GAUGAACGCUGGCGGCGUGCCUAAUACAUGCAAGUCGAGCGAACAGACGAGGAGCUUGCUCCUCUGACGUUAGCGGCGGACGGGUGAGUAACACGUGGAUAACCUACCUAUAAGACUGGGAUAACUUCGGGAAACCGGAGCUAAUACCGGAUAAUAUAUUGAACCGCAUGGUUCAAUAGUGAAAGACGGUUUUGCUGUCACUUAUAGAUGGAUCCGCGCCGCAUUAGCUAGUUGGUAAGGUAACGGCUUACCAAGGCGACGAUGCGUAGCCGACCUGAGAGGGUGAUCGGCCACACUGGAACUGAGACACGGUCCAGACUCCUACGGGAGGCAGCAGUAGGGAAUCUUGCGCAAUGGGCGCAAGCCUGACGGAGCAACGCCGCGUGAGUGAUGAAGGUCUUCGGAUCGUAAAACUCUGUUAUUAGGGAAGAACAAAUGUGUAAGUAACUAUGCACGUCUUGACGGUACCUAAUCAGAAAGCCACGGCUAACUACGUG